GGGGGCUGGGGGAAGAAGGGAAGAUAUUGGCAGAGCAAUAGUGCUGCCACAAAUGCAUGUUUUUUUAACAUAUAUUUCUCUAAAGUUGGUAGAGAAAGAUCUCAACACAGGUUUCAAGCUUUCUGGUGGUCAAAGGAAAGGAGGAAACAUGUUCAGAUGUCUCCAUUAGAUGAAGGGCACCUCGAAGAAUGAACCAUUUCUUCAUCAUUCCAUCAUCUCAGCACCCAGCAUGGUGCCCGGCAUGUAUCCACUACCUCAGUGUAUGAACGCUUGUCUUGCUGUACCCGCAGGGCUUCGAGGUGACGUGCUGAUACAAUCAUGCAUGGGCAGAGUAUUUCCUCAACUGCAGAGUAUUUGAAGAAGCCAGUUACCUAGCAGAAAGCACAAAGGCACUGGAGUGGAGAUGCAUGGGUUACAAAGUCACACCAAGUGUCUCACUCAUUUACAUUGUGGCUUUGGGCAAGUCAUUCAUUCUCCUGAAGCCUCAAUCUUUUUUUGUAUAAAAUAGAGAUAAUGACAUCCUUGCAUUAGAGUCAAUGCAUCUGACUUGCAAAUCUGGUCAGAGAUCUAAGUGAAGCAAAAAGACAAUGAUGUGAAUGAUUGUGAUCAGUGUCACAUAGUAGGUGCUGAAGAAUUAGCUAAAAAUUACAGAAAUAUGCAAACGAAGAAGUGUGAACGGAAAUGCACCCAGAUGAUAAAAUGAGUUUUUAUUCAGGGGUCGCACUACAGUUGUUAUUGCUAUUUUACUUCCACUUUUCAACAUUUCUCUAAUGAAUAUGUAUACAUUUUAGAAAGGAAUAAAAA
Long non-coding RNA from Callithrix jacchus (white-tufted-ear marmoset), 804 nucleotides. RefSeq lists it as uncharacterized. NCBI's taxonomy places the organism in Eukaryota, Metazoa, Chordata, Mammalia, Primates, Cebidae. The record is from RefSeq and is a predicted model, not a curated record.